This 225-nucleotide ribosomal RNA is filed under the name Triticum aestivum (bread wheat). RNAcentral describes it as "partial small subunit ribosomal RNA". The record is from RNAcentral. Lineage: Eukaryota; Viridiplantae; Streptophyta; Magnoliopsida; Poales; Poaceae.
AUGCAACAACCUUCGAACUCACCGGAUAUGAAUAUCCUAGACCUUGGCCUAUUUUCCUCACUACAGUCCAUGUUAGAUAGAUUGUUCUCUAACAAUUUAGAUGAGCUAAUCAACAAUGUACAGCAGGAAUAUGAUGCCUAUGAUGCUGAUAAAAUAAACAUGAUUUUUCUUACACUACAAAGCUGCUUAAUUGAGGUCACGAAGAGAGGUGGAGGCAACGACUAA